Molecule: ribosomal RNA, 288 nt
Filed under: uncultured bacterium
Lineage: Bacteria
Description: partial 16S ribosomal RNA
Rfam family: Bacterial small subunit ribosomal RNA
Source: RNAcentral
GUGGAUUAGAUACCCUGGUAGUCCACACGGUAAACGAUGAAUGCCAGGUGCAGGGGGUAUCGACCCCUUCUGUGCCGGAGUUAACACAAUGAGCAUUCCGCCUGGGGAGUACGGUCGCAAGAUUAAAACUCAAAGGAAUUGACGGGGGCCCGCACAAGCAGCGGAGCAUGUGGUUUAAUUCGAAGCAACGCGAAGAACCUUACCAGGUCUUGACAUCCAGUAAAACCUGCGGAGACGCAGUGUGCCUUCGGGCGUACUGAGACAGGUGGUGCACGGUUGUCGUCAACG